This 445-nucleotide ribosomal RNA is filed under the name Exiguobacterium mexicanum. Its description in RNAcentral is "bacterial SSU rRNA". It matches the Rfam family "Bacterial small subunit ribosomal RNA", at positions 58 to 485 of the family's 1533-position model. Lineage: Bacteria; Bacillati; Bacillota; Bacilli; Caryophanales. The record is from RNAcentral.
CAGGAAAUCGACGGAACCCUUCGGGGGGAAGUCGACGGAAUGAGCGGCGGACGGGUGAGUAACACGUAAAGAACCUGCCCUCAGGUCUGGGAUAACCACGAGAAAUCGGGGCUAAUACCGGAUGGGUCAUCGGACCGCAUGGUCCGAGGAUGAAAGGCGCUCCGGCGUCGCCUGGGGAUGGCUUUGCGGUGCAUUAGCUAGUUGGUGGGGUAAUGGCCCACCAAGGCGACGAUGCAUAGCCGACCUGAGAGGGUGAUCGGCCACACUGGGACUGAGACACGGCCCAGACUCCUACGGGAGGCAGCAGUAGGGAAUCUUCCACAAUGGACGAAAGUCUGAUGGAGCAACGCCGCGUGAACGAUGAAGGCCUUCGGGUCGUAAAGUUCUGUUGUAAGGGAAGAACAAGUGCCGCAGGCAAUGGCGGCACCUUGACGGUACCUUGCGA